This 245-nucleotide ribosomal RNA is filed under the name Actinomadura viridilutea. The record is from RNAcentral. Lineage: Bacteria; Bacillati; Actinomycetota; Actinomycetes; Streptosporangiales; Thermomonosporaceae.
AGUGGCUUGACACACGCAAUCUGACUGCUGUUGGUGUUCGCGUCCCUGUGUGGUUCUCGGGGAGCAAACGGGAACCCGUUGUUGACAACAGGUUUGCCGCCUGCCUGGUGGUGGGUGGUGUGGGUUUGUCCGGUGGUUAUGGCGAAGGGGAAACACCCGGUCCCAUUCCGAACCCGGUAGUUAAGCCCUUCAGCGCCGAUGGUACUGCAUGGGUGACUGUGUGGGAGAGUAGGACGCCGCCGGAC